RNAcentral lists this ribosomal RNA (291 nucleotides) under uncultured bacterium. RNAcentral describes it as "partial 16S ribosomal RNA". It matches the Rfam family "Bacterial small subunit ribosomal RNA", at positions 773 to 1060 of the family's 1533-position model. The record is from RNAcentral.
GUGGAUUGGAUACCCGGGUAGUCCACGCCCUAAACGAUGAUGACUAGUUGUUGGAGGAGUUAAAUCCUUUAGUAACGCAGCUAACGCGUGAAGUCAUCCGCCUGGGGAGUACGGUCGCAAGAUUAAAACUCAAAGGAAUUGACGGGGGCCCGCACAAGCGGUGGAUGAUGUGGUUUAAUUCGAUGCAACGCGAAAAACCUUACCUACCCUUGACAUGCUAGGAAUCCUGCAGAGAUGCAGGAGUGCCCGAAAGGGAACCUAGACACAGGUGCUGCACGGCCGUCGCCAGCU